UACGUAGGGUGCGAGCGUUAAUCGGAAUUACUGGGCGUAAAGCGUGCGCAGGCGGUUCGUGAUGUCUGGUGUGAAAGCCCCGGGCUUAACCUGGGAAUUGCAUUGGAAACUAGCGGGCUGGAGUGUGGCAGAGGGGGGUGGAAUUCCACGUGUAGCAGUGAAAUGCGUAGAGAUGUGGAGGAACACCGAUGGCGAAGGCGGCCCCCUGGGCUAACACUGACGCUCAUGCACGAAAGCGUGGGGAGCAAACAGG
This 253-nucleotide ribosomal RNA is filed under the name uncultured bacterium. RNAcentral's name for it is "partial 16S ribosomal RNA". It matches the Rfam family "Bacterial small subunit ribosomal RNA", at positions 524 to 776 of the family's 1533-position model. The record is from RNAcentral.